Molecule: ribosomal RNA, 275 nt
Filed under: uncultured bacterium
Lineage: Bacteria
Description: partial 16S ribosomal RNA
Rfam family: Bacterial small subunit ribosomal RNA
Source: RNAcentral
UCGGAGGGGGAUAGUGGCGAACGGGUGAGUAACACGUGGGUAAUUUUCCUUUAGGCUCGGGACAACACUGCGAAAGUAGUGCUAAUACCGGAUGAGACCACAGUUUCCAAGAAACUGAGGUUAAAGGGGGGGAUUCUGAAAAUGAACCUCUCACCUAUAGAUAAGCCCGCGUCCUAUCAGCUUGUUGGUGGGGUAAAAGCCUACCAAGGCGAUGACGGGUAGCUGGUCUGAGAGGAUGGUCAGCCACACUGGGACUGAGACACUGCCCAGACUCC